ACGAGCACGAGUUCAUUUCCUUGCCCGGAAGGGUUGGGUAAUCUUGUUAAACUCUGUCGUGCUGGGGAUAGAGCAUUGCAAUUAUUGCUCUUCAACGAGGAAUGCCUAGUAAGCGUACGUCAUCAGCGUGCGUUGAUUACGU
Molecule: ribosomal RNA, 142 nt
Filed under: uncultured eukaryote
Lineage: Eukaryota
Description: partial 18S ribosomal RNA
Rfam family: Eukaryotic small subunit ribosomal RNA
Source: RNAcentral